UAGGGAAUCUUCCGCAAUGGGCGAAAGCCUGACGGAGCAACGCCGCGUGAGUGAUGAAGGUCUUCGGAUCGUAAAACUCUGUUAUUAGGGAAGAACAAAUGUGUAAGUAACUAUGCACGUCUUGACGGUACCUAAUCAGAAAGCCACGGCUAACUACGUGCCAGCAGCCGCGGUAAUACGUAGGUGGCAAGCGUUAUCCGGAAUUAUUGGGCGUAAAGCGCGCGUAGGCGGUUUUUUAAGUCUGAUGUGAAAGCCCACGGCUCAACCGGGGAGGGUCAUUGGAAACUGGAAAACUUGAGUGCAGAAGAGGAAAGUGGAAUUCCAUGUGGAGCGGUGAAAUGCGCAGAGAUAUGGAGGAACACCAGUGGCGAAGGCGACUUUCUGGUCUGUAACUGACGCUGAUGUGCGAAAGCGUGGGGAUCAAACAGG
Molecule: ribosomal RNA, 429 nt
Filed under: Actinomycetes bacterium
Lineage: Bacteria; Bacillati; Actinomycetota; Actinomycetes
Description: Actinobacteria bacterium partial 16S ribosomal RNA
Rfam family: Bacterial small subunit ribosomal RNA
Source: RNAcentral